AUUUAAUAAGAAAUUUAGGUUGAUUUUUUUAACCAUGAUGAAUCUGUGAUAUAUCAGCUAAGCUUACAAAGAUUCAAGAAGCAGCUCCUGAAUGUGUUUUACUGCCCUCCUCCCCCUUCCUGGCACAUAUAUGUCUCAGGUUGCAGUCCUCCCUGAGAUGCUGAGAUACAGCAUUUGACUGGGGCAUGGGGAGGGAUUGCCAAUGAAAGCUGAACAUUUUGCAACCAACUCAUGGGAAAAUAAAGUCAGAAAUCACCUAGUUUGCCAAAAAUAUAAAGAACAAUUGACAUGAAAAGAAAUAAAAAUGCGUAUGGUGGUAGGAGCUAACUGAUCGAACCGGUGGUAGUGGGCUCCCUCAGAAGAAACCUUCCCUCUACGGAAAUGGCAUUGGGAAAGAUAACUGAGAUACCCGGGUUUUUAUUUAACUUCCUUUAACAACACUCACCGAUAAGUGGCCUACCUUUGUCAGAAGCAGGCUAUCAAGGCUCCGUUUCCUCUCCAGCUAAGGGGGUGAGGCCCUGAGAGGUGGCAAAUUGAGGCGGCAGCUCUCGAGCCAAGCCCUGACCACGAGCAGUCGCUGGAGCUGUAACGACCAGAGGAGCUGCACAGGUCCGGACACAAGCACAAAGCCUGACCACAGUUGGAGGUGGUUACAGAACCAGCAUCAUGCCCAGCAAGCUGUGUGACAGCAAGGACUGGGUUUGGUGGAGAGCGCAGGUAAAACCUGGCACUGCUGGCAGAUGAGGGUGCAAGCCCCAGCAGCCAGCUCUGGAGGAGCGUUGCAAUAGGAGCUGCCUCCAGGGCGUUUCAGAGAACGGCAAUGACAGACACCGCAUUCCUUGACCAAGUUGACCCCUCAGAGAGAAAAACAAGACCACAGCCCUGCUUUGCUGCAUUGUGGAUGAUAUUAAAGAAGAAAAUCCUCACCUCUUUGUGCCCUUGUUUUGCAGCUGCUGCUAUGGCUGGUGAUGAGACUCUGAGCUGGAAAGGUCUCCUCUGCCACCUGCAGAACAGGGAUAUUUUAUCUCCGUUCGCCGAUGUGUUCUGCAGUUCUGAAGGGCUACUUGUGCUGUCCUUACGCUUCUUCAUCCAUUUUGGAAGUGCUGCUGUCCCCAUGGUCAGAUUCAGUACUAAUAUUUUGUAUUAACAACCAUCAAUCUUGCAAGCAAGGUCCUAUCCCAGAGCAUUACAAAGACCUUUUCAUUUAAGUAUUUUUUCAUUUGUUUAAGUCUAUAAAGCUCAUUUGCAAAUGAAUUCCAAAGUUGGGGGGAAAUUAAAUGUUUAUUUGCAUUUAAAAUAUUUCUAUUUUUACAUAAAUCCUGCCUUCCUUUACUUUACAACUGUUUCUCACUGGAGUUACUCCUGACUUACAAUACUAGGUGUAAGAUUACAAAUAGGUCAACUAAAUUUGUAGUCAUUUAACUGCCUAUUUAUCACUUUAUACUACUGAAAAACAAUAUGAUUGCUGGGAGGAAGAGUGAUUAUUACUUUGUAACUUAUUAUUUCUUUGCUAAUUGCUCCUUAUUUUAUACCUUAUAACUCGGAACAAGGUUUAGAGUCCACAGUGUAAGAGAGUUAUUGUUUGAUGGUCGUUAUCCCAUUUAUGGAGUAUCAUAAACAUUGACAACAUCGUUGAGAAGCCUUUCUACAUACGGGCGGUUUUAUCUCCUUCAUAAAAACACUGUGAUGGUAGCUUAUUAACUGCAAGAAAGGCUAACCUAUGAGGACAGGUAAAGAACUCUACUCGAAUAGUUUGGCUAAAUGUUGACACAGAUACCUUCUCCUUGGAAUACAGUAAGUGUUUAAGCAGGAAGAAAUUAGUUACAGGAAAUUAAGAGAAGAACUAAAACAGCAGGAUAAAGAAAAGGAGCACUGAUGUUUUUGUUUCUCUUGCCCUUUGACAAGGUAAGCUAUGCAGGGCAGAGAUGGUCUCCUGCUUUGAGUUUCUCUUACUACAUUAGGACAGCAGCCUCACUCGUUAACCAAGUGUUGAUGCAAAUAAGAGUAACUUCAUUUCAGUGGCUCUUCAGCAAAACUAGUGUGCCUUAAUUGUUACCUUAAUUAAAAGUAUCUUAACUAAUAACAGUAGUAAGUUUGAGCGAGCAAAUACAUACGAAAUAUGCUGUGGGGAGGAAUACUUCAUUGGCAGAGAAAUUAUAUGAUGGUUUUCAGCACUACCUGUCACUCUCUAAGCAAUUACCUCUAGCUCCAGCCGGCUAUUUUUCAUUUCUUGAAGGUGUAUUUCAGGAGAAGUGGGAAGAUAUUGUAAUGUCAUAAUCAGUGGUACCUGGUUAUUAUUGCAGCCUACUGUCAUUUCUCAAUAUACCGCCUCCAUAAAACUGAAAUUAUCCUUGUCUCCUAGUAGUGUAAAUGUGGAACGGAGAGGCCCCUCCACACAACUCCCCAGAAUAUCUCUCCCUUUCUAGGAUUUCUGUGUCUGUUCCCUGUGUAGCAGCAGCAAGCCCUUCCACCUCCUCACUCCUACCCACUUCAUGCUGCAGCUUGAGGAGAAUUUCCCAGCCAUCAUCUCUGGAGAUGAUCCUGACCGAUGCCAAAAUCUGCGACCACAAUUUAAGCAGUGCUUCCCACUGCAAAAAGCUGUCAGACAGGGGAACGGGAUUGCACUGGUAGGGAGGUGAAGAAUCCUGAGACACUGAAUAAACAGUUGUUACCGGAGCA
This 2679-nucleotide long non-coding RNA is filed under the name Anser brachyrhynchus (Pink-footed goose). Its description in RNAcentral is "lncRNA (ENSABRG00000018936.1)". Lineage: Eukaryota; Metazoa; Chordata; Aves; Anseriformes; Anatidae. The record is from RNAcentral.